GGUGUAGAAAAAACAUGAGAUAUUUGUUUCCUAUGAAAAAUUAUACCCAAUUAAAAAUAAUGAAAUCAGUUUUGGGGUGCAGAAAAAACACGAAUUGUCAAUGUCUUUACAAAAUUGUAUAAUAAUAAUAAUAAAAAUACAUAUAUAAUCGCGUAAUGGAAUUAAAUGGUUAUAAAAGAGAUGGAAAUAUAAAGAGAAGAGAAAAAGAAAGAAAAAAGAGCGGUAUUGUGUCGUUAAAGGUAAGAGAAUAGAAGGAAGAUAUACACGGUGUAUAUUAUAUGCAAGACGGAAGAGUACUGUAGCUAAUAGUGGGGGUGGGAGGAGGGAUAGUGAGUGGUGGAAAAGAGGAGGGGUUGAAACAUUCGGAUAGCAAGAGUAGUAGGAGGAAAGACAGUUCAGUAGAGAGUCGGACGUCCGCCGUGGUUGAAUCAUUUUACAACCGACUCGUGUCGUCAAAAGUAAUGUGAAAAUAAAUCUAAAAUCUUAAACGCGAGAAAAGUGGUAUCUAUUAUUUAAAUAAAAAAAGAACAAAGAAGAAGAAGAAGAAGAGAAAUAAGUAUUGAAA
This 565-nucleotide long non-coding RNA is filed under the name Polistes fuscatus (common paper wasp). RNAcentral describes it as "uncharacterized LOC122519550". Lineage: Eukaryota; Metazoa; Arthropoda; Insecta; Hymenoptera; Vespidae. The record is from RNAcentral.